CAGCCGCCGCGGGAAUACAGAGGGUGCGAGCGUUAAUCGGAUUUACUGGGCGUAAAGCGUGCGUAGGCGGCUUCUUAAGUCGGAUGUGAAAUCCCUGAGCUUAACUUAGGAAUUGCAUUCGAUACUGGGAAGCUAGAGUAUGGGAGAGGAUGGUAGAAUUCCAGGUGUAGCGGUGAAAUGCGUAGAGAUCUGGAGGAAUACCGAUGGCGAAGGCAGCCAUCUUGCCUAAUACUGACGCUGAGGUACGAAAGCAUGGGGAGCAAACAGGAUUAGAUACCCCGGUAGUCCCUGUCUCUUAUAC
Molecule: ribosomal RNA, 301 nt
Filed under: uncultured bacterium
Lineage: Bacteria
Description: partial 16S ribosomal RNA
Rfam family: Bacterial small subunit ribosomal RNA
Source: RNAcentral